GUGCUUGAUUUGGCAGCAAUUACACUAAAACUGAAACAAAAAGAGAAGAUUAGCCUCACCCUUGAGUAAGGAUGACACUCAAAGUCAGGAAAUGUUUCAGAUUUUA
Small nuclear RNA from Otolemur garnettii (small-eared galago), 106 nucleotides. The record is from Ensembl. NCBI's taxonomy places the organism in Eukaryota, Metazoa, Chordata, Mammalia, Primates, Galagidae.